This 253-nucleotide ribosomal RNA is filed under the name uncultured bacterium. RNAcentral's name for it is "partial 16S ribosomal RNA". It matches the Rfam family "Bacterial small subunit ribosomal RNA", at positions 524 to 776 of the family's 1533-position model. The record is from RNAcentral.
CACGGGGGGAGCAAGCGUUGUUCGGAAUCACUGGGCGUAAAGGGCGUGUAGGCGGUCAGGUAAGUGAGAUGUGAAAUGCCCCGGCUCACCCGGGGACCGGCAUCUCAUACUGCUUGGCUUGAGUACGGGAGAGGAUGUGGGAAUUCCUGGUGUAGCGGUGAAAUGCGUAGAUAUCAGGAGGAACACCAAUGGCGAAGGCAGCUCGCUGGGACGUGACUGACGCUGAGACGCGAAAGCGUGGGGAGCAAACAGG